GAGAUGGACAAGAAUAUGCAGCGAGAGCGAGAGGUGAUGGACAAGAAUCUGAAGCAGGAGCGGGCAACCGUGGACCGCAUGAGGAAGGAGGAGUGUGCAGCCAUGGAACAGAUGAUGACUGAGGAGCGUGCAGCCAUGGAUCAGAGGUUGAAGCAUUUCCAUGAUGAUAUGGACCUAAAGUUGAAGCAGGAGCGCAAGGACCUAGAUCGCGCUAUGCAACUUGAGCGUGGCAGGAUGGAAUUCAAUAUCAUGCAGGCGCGUGCGAACAUGGACCGUAUGUUGCAGCAGGAGCGUAAUGACAUGAAUCACAAGGCCAAGAUGGAGGGGAUCCGCAUGGAUGGGAAUAUGAUGCAAGACCGUGUUCUACAUCUCGAGCGUGGUAAAAUGGGCUUCAAUAACAUGCAGACGCGUGCGGGCAUGGACCUUAACUUACCAAAGGACCGCAAUGAUCUGGAUUACAAGGCCAAGAUGGAGCAGAUCCGCAUGGAAGGAAAUACGAUGCAGGACCGUGCU
Molecule: ribosomal RNA, 513 nt
Filed under: Triticum aestivum (bread wheat)
Lineage: Eukaryota; Viridiplantae; Streptophyta; Magnoliopsida; Poales; Poaceae
Description: partial small subunit ribosomal RNA
Source: RNAcentral